CAGCAGCCGCGGGAAUACGUAGGGUGCGAGCGUUAAUCGGAAUUACUGGGCGUAAAGCGUGCGCAGGCGGCUAUGUAAGACAGUUGUGAAAUCCCCGGGCUCAACCUGGGAACUGCAUCUGUGACUGCAUAGCUAGAGUACGGUAGAGGGGGAUGGAAUUCCGCGUGUAGCAGUGAAAUGCGUAGAUAUGCGGAGGAACACCGAUGGCGAAGGCAAUCCCCUGGACCUGUACUGACGCUCAUGCACGAAAGCGUGGGGAGCAAACAGGAUUAGAUACCCGAGUAGUCCCUGUCUCUUAUAA
RNAcentral lists this ribosomal RNA (301 nucleotides) under uncultured bacterium. Its description in RNAcentral is "partial 16S ribosomal RNA". It matches the Rfam family "Bacterial small subunit ribosomal RNA", at positions 509 to 809 of the family's 1533-position model. The record is from RNAcentral.